AUACUUACCUGGCGGGGGAGAUACCGUGAUCACGAAGGUGGUUUUCCCAGGGCGAGGCUUAUCCAUUGCACUCUGGAUGUGCUGACCCCUGCGAUUUCCAAAAUGUGGGAAACUCAACUGUGUAAUUUGUGAUAGUGGGGGACGGUGUUCGUGCUUUCCCCUG
RNAcentral lists this small nuclear RNA (163 nucleotides) under Tupaia belangeri chinensis (Chinese tree shrew). Its description in RNAcentral is "Tupaia chinensis (Chinese tree shrew) U1 spliceosomal RNA". It matches the Rfam family "U1 spliceosomal RNA". From Rfam's summary of the family: U1 is a small nuclear RNA (snRNA) component of the spliceosome (involved in pre-mRNA splicing). Its 5' end forms complementary base pairs with the 5' splice junction, thus defining the 5' donor site of an intron. There are significant differences in sequence and secondary structure between metazoan and yeast U1 snRNAs, the latter being much longer (568 nucleotides as compared to 164 nucleotides in human). Lineage: Eukaryota; Metazoa; Chordata; Mammalia; Scandentia; Tupaiidae. The record is from Rfam by way of RNAcentral.